This 253-nucleotide ribosomal RNA is filed under the name uncultured bacterium. Its description in RNAcentral is "partial 16S ribosomal RNA". It matches the Rfam family "Bacterial small subunit ribosomal RNA", at positions 524 to 776 of the family's 1533-position model. The record is from RNAcentral.
GACGUAGGGGGCAAGCGUUGUCCGGAAUCAUUGGGCGUAAAGAGCGCGUAGGCGGUCCGGUAAGUCCGCUCUGAAAGCCCGGGGCUCAACCCCGGGAGGCGGGCGGAUACUGUCGGGCUAGAGUCCGGAAGAGGCGAGUGGAAUUCCUGGUGUAGCGGUGGAAUGCGCAGAUAUCAGGAGGAACACCGAUGGCGAAGGCAGCUCGCUGGGACGGUACUGACGCUGAGGCGCGAAAGCGUGGGGAGCGAACAGG